This 201-nucleotide long non-coding RNA is filed under the name Capsicum annuum. RNAcentral describes it as "long non-coding RNA (CANN_LNC008067)". The record is from RNAcentral. Lineage: Eukaryota; Viridiplantae; Streptophyta; Magnoliopsida; Solanales; Solanaceae.
UGAAAUUUGGGUGAGGUGAAAUGAAUAAAAUACCCCUAAGAAAAUAAAAAAAAUUUGAAACUGUCCAUCAGUUGACAAGCUGACAGGCUGAAGCAAAACGGGCAUAACUCCUUACUUAGAUGUUAGAUUUGGAUGAAACUAGUUGUAUUGGAAAUAAGACUCAAAGAUCUUUCAUUUUCUAGGUUCCAGCUCUCCCAGUUC